GUUCUUGAGAGAUAAUCUAGACAGAGGAAGGGAGAGAGGUGGUAGGCACGGUGGACGACCGACGGAGGGCAGCGGCUUACAACGCAGAAGACGGUCUUCAUCGUUUUCCUCCGUCACUUGAAACCAGAUCCGCCGGCUGUGGCUUCUAGAAGACAUACUGCCGACAGCAUCGGCGAACUGAGAUAGCGAUCCUUUGUCUUUGAGAUCAAAACGAUAUGAGAGAGAGGGAAAGAGGGCAGGGGCGGAGACAAGGCGGCGAUUAGGGUUCCGGCGCAAGCUAUUACUUCCAUCAAUCGAUUAUCCGAUCUAUGGUUGCAUGUCCCUUCAAUGGAUAGAUUGACUACUUGCACAGUCGUCGGAAUGAUCUUCUCUCUCCUCCAGUGUUGA
Molecule: long non-coding RNA, 387 nt
Filed under: Helianthus annuus (common sunflower)
Lineage: Eukaryota; Viridiplantae; Streptophyta; Magnoliopsida; Asterales; Asteraceae
Description: sRNA HanXRQr2_Chr06g0247341
Source: RNAcentral